GAGUUCACAGUACAGUAACGUACUUUCCUGGAACUGUCCUUUCCAGGACUGAAACAGAGAGUAGGUAAAAGUCUUCAAAGUGCUCCGACUCCGACUACUUUGGCACCUAGAUAUCAUUCACAGAAGAAAUUCACAGCACUACCACAAAGAGGAUGAAAUCUCCUCACUAAAACACAAA
Molecule: long non-coding RNA, 178 nt
Organism: Tyto alba (common barn owl)
Lineage: Eukaryota; Metazoa; Chordata; Aves; Strigiformes; Tytonidae
Exons: 2
Source: RefSeq, a predicted model, not a curated record